Molecule: long non-coding RNA, 1137 nt
Filed under: Daphnia pulex (common water flea)
Lineage: Eukaryota; Metazoa; Arthropoda; Branchiopoda; Diplostraca; Daphniidae
Description: uncharacterized LOC124200674, transcript variant X1
Source: RNAcentral
UGUCGCUGUAGCUCCGUCAUAAACUCGCCGUUGAAGUUGCAAACUUAGCUUAGUGCUGGAUAAAUGUUUAAGCAGUUUUAUUCAUUGUUUGGUUGUGAUGGACAGUUGCCAAAUUUUUACCGUUCGUGCGAAAUGUUGUGAUGUUUCUCGAUAUCCCAAUCAUAGCACCUGUGUUAUUCCUGGGCAUCGCAUUCUCCAAGUCCCAACACGUGGUUGGAUCAAAGCAGUAAAGUCAAAGAAAUGAAUAAAUGAUAACUCAAAAGCCCAGGGUGUACAGAACACGCAGGUAGAAGAAAUGUGGAUGGAUGGAUUAUUUUGCCUGCCUUGGAUUUUCGUGGAUUUUCAAUCUUUGUGCUAAAAGCAAGAGGCCUGAAGUCGUGAAGUGUUUCACCUGUGUUAGUGCCAGUCUCUAUGCUGGAAAAGAAUUGGUUGAUGUCAGAAAAUUUGCUUCGAUAUGUCUUUGCCAAGCCAAUGUUACUGAAAAAAUACAGCAAGUCUUUAGCCUUGGAAAUGCAGUGUAUUAAUACUGUCUAUGAAGCGGCUACAUAGUAGGCUUUAACAGAUUUGAAAGGGUAUCCAUACUUACCAGUGCAGAAUAGAUCGGAUUGAACCAAUUCCACAGCUUUUAUUCGCUUUUAUUAAGUUGUCUGCUGCCUUUUUGAAUCUCCUUGUUAAGUUCAGACUUAGAAUGGUCACACUCUUAUUUUGAGGUUAAUCUUGCGCCGCUAUUCCAUGGAUUGAAUCCAUUGGUGGAAACUGACGAGAGAUCAGCAUCACCAUUUUUAAAGAGGGUUAUGGCCCAUGUCCAUUCGUUCCCAAGUUAAAAGCUAGCAAGCAACCACCAACCUUGGUCGAGUCACGAAAAAAGCCAGACAGCCGGCCCGGAAAUAGUCACGCCAAGCCCAAUAAAUAGCUAGCAAGCAAGCACUGUCGUCGGUCGUGCCAAGAACAAAAAGUAGCAAACAAACAACUAUACCAUUGCUGGACGUGACUGUCGUACGAAAUGCCACCUGCGCGUUUCCGUGUCGUAUUUUCCUUCCCUUCACGCGUUUUCAAACAACUCUUCUUUCUUCUAAGUAGAUCAUGGCAAAUAACCGGGGAACAUUUGAAGUCAAAGUAAGGAUAAAAUCCAUAAUU